RNAcentral lists this ribosomal RNA (2929 nucleotides) under Staphylococcus epidermidis. Its description in RNAcentral is "23S ribosomal RNA". It matches the Rfam family "Bacterial large subunit ribosomal RNA". The record is from RNAcentral. Lineage: Bacteria; Bacillati; Bacillota; Bacilli; Caryophanales; Staphylococcaceae.
AGAUUAAGUUAUUAAGGGCGCACGGUGGAUGCCUUGGCACUAGAAGCCGAUGAAGGACGUUACUAACGACGAUAUGCUUUGGGUAGCUGUAAGUAAGCGUUGAUCCAGAGAUUUCCGAAUGGGGGAACCCAGCAUGAGUUAUGUCAUGUUAUCGACAUGUGAAUUCAUAGCAUGUCAGAAGGCAGACCCGGAGAACUGAAACAUCUUAGUACCCGGAGGAAGAGAAAGAAAAAUCGAUUCCCUGAGUAGCGGCGAGCGAAACGGGAAGAGCCCAAACCAACAAGCUUGCUUGUUGGGGUUGUAGGACACUCUAUACGGAGUUACAAAAGAACAUGUUAGACGAAUCAUCUGGAAAGAUGAAUCAAAGAAGGUAAUAAUCCUGUAGUCGAAAACAUAUUCUCUCUUGAGUGGAUCCUGAGUACGACGGAGCACGUGAAAUUCCGUCGGAAUCUGGGAGGACCAUCUCCUAAGGCUAAAUACUCUCUAGUGACCGAUAGUGAACCAGUACCGUGAGGGAAAGGUGAAAAGUACCCCGGAAGGGGAGUGAAAGAGAACUUGAAACCGUGUGCUUACAAGUAGUCAGAGCCCGUUAAUGGGUGAUGGCGUGCCUUUUGUAGAAUGAACCGGCGAGUUACGAUCUGAUGCAAGGUUAAGCAGCAAAUGUGGAGCCGCAGCGAAAGCGAGUCUGAAUAGGGCGUUGAGUAUUUGGUCGUAGACCCGAAACCAGGUGAUCUACCCUUGGUCAGGUUGAAGUUCAGGUAACACUGAAUGGAGGACCGAACCGACUUACGUUGAAAAGUGAGCGGAUGAACUGAGGGUAGCGGAGAAAUUCCAAUCGAACUUGGAGAUAGCUGGUUCUCUCCGAAAUAGCUUUAGGGCUAGCCUCAAGUGAUGAUUAUUGGAGGUAGAGCACUGUUUGGACGAGGGCCCCUCUCGGGUUACCGAAUUCAGACAAACUCCGAAUGCCAAUUAAUUUAACUUGGGAGUCAGAACAUGGGUGAUAAGGUCCGUGUUCGAAAGGGAAACAGCCCAGACCACCAGCUAAGGUCCCAAAAUAUAUGUUAAGUGGAAAAGGAUGUGGCGUUGCCCAGACAACUAGGAUGUUGGCUUAGAAGCAGCCAUCAUUUAAAGAGUGCGUAAUAGCUCACUAGUCGAGUGACACUGCGCCGAAAAUGUACCGGGGCUAAACAUAUUACCGAAGCUGUGGAUUGUCCUUUGGACAAUGGUAGGAGAGCGUUCUAAGGGCGUCGAAGCAUGAUCGCAAGGACAUGUGGAGCGCUUAGAAGUGAGAAUGCCGGUGUGAGUAGCGAAAGACGGGUGAGAAUCCCGUCCACCGAUUGACUAAGGUUUCCAGAGGAAGGCUCGUCCGCUCUGGGUUAGUCGGGUCCUAAGCUGAGGCCGACAGGCGUAGGCGAUGGAUAACAGGUUGAUAUUCCUGUACCACCUAGUAUCGUUUUAAUCGAUGGGGGGACGCAGUAGGAUAGGCGAAGCGUGCUGUUGGAGUGCACGUCCAAGCAGUAAGGCUGAGUGUUAGGCAAAUCCGGCACUCAUAAGGCUGAGCUGUGAUGGGGAGAGGAAAUUGUUUCCUCGAGUCGUUGAUUUCACACUGCCGAGAAAAGCCUCUAGAUAGAUAACAGGUGCCCGUACCGCAAACCGACACAGGUAGUCAAGAUGAGAAUUCUAAGGUGAGCGAGCGAACUCUCGUUAAGGAACUCGGCAAAAUGACCCCGUAACUUCGGGAGAAGGGGUGCUCUUUAGGGUUCACGCCCAGAAGAGCCGCAGUGAAUAGGCCCAAGCGACUGUUUAUCAAAAACACAGGUCUCUGCUAAACCGUAAGGUGAUGUAUAGGGGCUGACGCCUGCCCGGUGCUGGAAGGUUAAGAGGAGUGGUUAGCUUCUGCGAAGCUACGAAUCGAAGCCCCAGUAAACGGCGGCCGUAACUAUAACGGUCCUAAGGUAGCGAAAUUCCUUGUCGGGUAAGUUCCGACCCGCACGAAAGGCGUAACGAUUUGGGCACUGUCUCAACGAGAGACUCGGUGAAAUCAUAGUACCUGUGAAGAUGCAGGUUACCCGCGACAGGACGGAAAGACCCCGUGGAGCUUUACUGUAGCCUGAUAUUGAAAUUCGGCACAGCUUGUACAGGAUAGGUAGGAGCCUUUGAAACGUGAGCGCUAGCUUACGUGGAGGCGUUGGUGGGAUACUACCCUAGCUGUGUUGGCUUUCUAACCCGCACCACUUAUCGUGGUGGGAGACAGUGUCAGGCGGGCAGUUUGACUGGGGCGGUCGCCUCCUAAAAGGUAACGGAGGCGCUCAAAGGUUCCCUCAGAAUGGUUGGAAAUCAUUCAUAGAGUGUAAAGGCAUAAGGGAGCUUGACUGCGAGACCUACAAGUCGAGCAGGGUCGAAAGACGGACUUAGUGAUCCGGUGGUUCCGCAUGGAAGGGCCAUCGCUCAACGGAUAAAAGCUACCCCGGGGAUAACAGGCUUAUCUCCCCCAAGAGUUCACAUCGACGGGGAGGUUUGGCACCUCGAUGUCGGCUCAUCGCAUCCUGGGGCUGUAGUCGGUCCCAAGGGUUGGGCUGUUCGCCCAUUAAAGCGGUACGCGAGCUGGGUUCAGAACGUCGUGAGACAGUUCGGUCCCUAUCCGUCGUGGGCGUAGGAAAUUUGAGAGGAGCUGUCCUUAGUACGAGAGGACCGGGAUGGACAUACCUCUGGUGUACCAGUUGUCGUGCCAACGGCAUAGCUGGGUAGCUAUGUAUGGACGGGAUAAGUGCUGAAAGCAUCUAAGCAUGAAGCCCCCUCAAGAUGAGAUUUCCCAACUUCGGUUAUAAGAUCCCUCGAAGAUGACGAGGUUAAUAGGUUCGAGGUGGAAGCGUGGUGACACGUGGAGCUGACGAAUACUAAUCGAUCGAAGACUUAAUCAAUUUUUAAA